GUAGUCUCGCACAGAUGCAUAUCAAUAAGCGGAGGAAAAGAAACUAACAAGGAUUCCCCUAGUAACGGCGAGUGAAGCGGGAAGAGCUCAAAUUUGAAAUCUUAAAGGGUUUCCCUUUACGAAUUGUAGUUUAAAGAAGUGUUUUCUGUUGAGGUUUUGGUAAAAGUUCUUUGGAAUAGGACAUCAUAGAGGGUGAGAAUCCCGUAUUUGACCUUUACUUUCAACUUUGUGAUACACUUUCAAAGAGUCGGAUUGUUUGGGGAUGCAGUCCAAAAUGGGUGGUAAAUUUCAUCUAAAGCUAAAUAUUGGCGAGAGACCGAUAGCGAACAAGUACCGUGAGGGAAAGAUGAAAAGAACUUUGAAAAGAGAGUUAAACAGUACGUGAAAUUGUCAAAAGGGAAGCGUUUGACACCAGUGUUGUUUUUCUGAAAAUCAAUUAAAGAACUGUUUAUGCUAAGUUGUUUAGACUUUAUCAGCUAACUGUUUAGUUUUGAGCUUUUCUUUAAUGCACUUUUCAGUUAACAAGUCAACAUCAAUUUCUUUUGCUGUAAAAAAGCUUGAGGAAGGUGGCUUGAGAUUCGUCUUAAGUGUUUAUAGCCUCUUGCCUAUGCAGUCGGAGAGAUUGAGGUCUGCAGCGUAGAUCCUUCGGGGCUAAAUGCAUUUGUGCUAAGUUAUAGCAUUUUAUAGACAACUUGUUGACUAUGAUUUGUCUUGUAGCUUACUCGCUUAUGUUAUUUUACCUACGCUUAGGAUGUUGACAGCAGUAUAGACUGU
This 774-nucleotide ribosomal RNA is filed under the name uncultured Neocallimastigales. RNAcentral describes it as "partial large subunit ribosomal RNA". It matches the Rfam family "Eukaryotic large subunit ribosomal RNA", at positions 24 to 637 of the family's 3401-position model. The record is from RNAcentral. Lineage: Eukaryota; Fungi; Neocallimastigomycota; Neocallimastigomycetes; Neocallimastigales.